RNAcentral lists this ribosomal RNA (468 nucleotides) under uncultured bacterium. RNAcentral describes it as "partial 16S ribosomal RNA". It matches the Rfam family "Bacterial small subunit ribosomal RNA", at positions 28 to 507 of the family's 1533-position model. The record is from RNAcentral.
GACGAACGCUGGCGGCGUGCUUAACACAUGCAAGUCGAACGGAAAGGCCCUGCUUUUGUGGGGUUCUCGAGUGGCAAACGGGUGAGUAACACGGGAGUAACCUGCCCUUGACUUUGGGAUAACUUCAGGAAACUGGGGCUAAUACCGGAUAGGAGCUCCUGCUGCAUGGUGGGGGUUGGAAAGUUUGGGCGGUUGGGGAUGGACUCGCGGCUUAUCAGCUGGUUGGUGGGGUAGUGGCUUACCAAGGCUUUGACGGGUAGCCGGCCUGGGGGGGUGACCGGCAACAUUGGGAUUGAGAUCCGGCCCGGACUCCUACGGGAGGAAGCAGUGGGGAAUAUGGCACAAGGGGCGGAAGCCUAAUGCAGCAACGCCGCGUGCGGGAUGACGGCCUUCGGGUUGUAACCCGCUUUGGCAUGUGACGAAGCGUGAGUGACGGUAAUGGGUAAAGAAGCACCGGCUAACUACGUG